AUUGAACGCUGGCGGCAUGCUCUACACAUGCAAGUCGAACGGUAACAGGCCGCAAGGUGCUGACGAGUGGCGAACGGGUGAGUAAUGCAUCGGAACGUGCCCAGGCGUGGGGGAUAACUACUCGAAAGAGUAGCUAAUACCGCAUACGAUCUAUGGAUGAAAGCGGGGGACCGUAAGGCCUCGCGCGAUUGGAGCGGCCGAUGUCAGAUUAGGUAGUUGGUGGGGUAAAGGCUCACCAAGCCAACGAUCUGUAGCUGGUCUGAGAGGACGACCAGCCACACUGGGACUGAGACACGGCCCAGACUCCUACGGGAGGCAGCGGUGGGGAAUUUUGGGCAAUGGGCGCAAGCCUGAUCCAGCAAUGCGGCGUGCAGGAAGAAGGCCUUCGGGUGGUAAACUGCUUUUGUACGGAACGAAACGGCUCUGGUUAAUACCCGGGGCUAAUGACGGUACCGUAAGAAUAAGCACCGGCUAACUACGU
This 481-nucleotide ribosomal RNA is filed under the name uncultured bacterium. Its description in RNAcentral is "partial 16S ribosomal RNA". It matches the Rfam family "Bacterial small subunit ribosomal RNA", at positions 29 to 506 of the family's 1533-position model. The record is from RNAcentral.